This 429-nucleotide ribosomal RNA is filed under the name Verrucomicrobiota bacterium. Its description in RNAcentral is "Verrucomicrobia bacterium partial 16S ribosomal RNA". It matches the Rfam family "Bacterial small subunit ribosomal RNA", at positions 355 to 776 of the family's 1533-position model. Lineage: Bacteria; Pseudomonadati; Verrucomicrobiota. The record is from RNAcentral.
UAGGGAAUCUUCGGCAAUGGGGGGAACCCUGACCGAGCAACGCCGCGUGAGUGAAGAAGGUUUUCGGAUCGUAAAGCUCUGUUGUUAAGGAAGAACGAGUGUGAGAAUGGAAAGUUCAUGCUGUGACGGUACUUAACCAGAAAGGGACGGCUAACUACGUGCCAGCAGCCGCAGUAAUACGUAGGUCCCGAGCGUUGUCCGGAUUUAUUGGGCGUAAAGCGAGCGCAGGCGGUUAGAAAAGUCUGAAGUGCAAGGCAGUGGCUCAACCAUUGUAGGCUUUUGACACUGUUUAACUUGAGUGCAGAAUGGUAGAGUGGAAUUCCAUGUGUAGCGGUGAAUUGCGUAUCUAUAUGGAGGACCGCCGGUGGCGAUAGCGGCUCUCUGGUCUGUAACUGACGCUGAGGCUCGAAAGCGUGGGGAGCGAACAGG